Molecule: ribosomal RNA, 435 nt
Filed under: uncultured bacterium
Lineage: Bacteria
Description: partial 16S ribosomal RNA
Rfam family: Bacterial small subunit ribosomal RNA
Source: RNAcentral
GAUGAACGCUGGCGGUAUGCUUAACACAUGCAAGUCGAACGGACUCUUCGGAGUUAGUGGCGGACGGGUGAGUAACGCGUGAGAAUCUGGCUUUGGGUUCGGGACAACCACUGGAAACGGUGGCUAAUACCGGAUGUGCCGAGAGGUAAAAGAGAAAUUGCCUGAAGAUGAGCUCGCGUCUGAUUAGCUAGUUGGUGAGGUAAAGGCUCACCAAGGCAGCGAUCAGUAGCUGGUCUGAGAGGAUGACCAGCCACACUGGGGCUGAGACACGGCCCAGACUCCUACGGGAGGCAGCAGUGGGGAAUUUUCCGAAAUGGGCGAAAGCCUGACGGAGCAAUACCGCGUGAGGGAAGAAGGCUCUUGGGUUGCAAACCUCUUUUCUUAGGGAAGAACAAAAUGACGGUACCUAAGGAAUCAGCAUCGGCUAACUCCGUG